This 124-nucleotide small RNA is filed under the name Arabidopsis thaliana (thale cress). RNAcentral's name for it is "ATSL165600". Lineage: Eukaryota; Viridiplantae; Streptophyta; Magnoliopsida; Brassicales; Brassicaceae. The record is from RNAcentral.
AACAAGGGUGAAACCAUCUUCCUCCUUCACACCAUUCCCUGUGUUGGCCCAAUUGCAUCUGAACAGCGGCACUUUGAACAUGUGAUAGUCCAUAAGUAAAAUCUCCUUUAUCACUCCAUAAUAU